AGCGUACACGGUGGAUGCCCUGGCAGUCAGAGGCGAUGAAGGACGUGCUAAUCUGCGAUAAGCGUCGGUAAGGUGAUAUGAACCGUUAUAACCGGCGAUUUCCGAAUGGGGAAACCCAGUGUGUUUCGACACACUAUCAUUAACUGAAUCCAUAGGUUAAUGAGGCGAACCGGGGGAACUGAAACAUCUAAGUACCCCGAGGAAAAGAAAUCAACCGAGAUUCCCCCAGUAGCGGCGAGCGAACGGGGAGCAGCCCAGAGCCUGAAUCAGUGUGUGUGUUAGUGGAAGCGUCUGGAAAGGCGCGCGAUACAGGGUGACAGCCCCGUACACAAAAAUGCACAUGCUGUGAGCUCGAUGAGUAGGGCGGGACACGUGGUAUCCUGUCUGAAUAUGGGGGGACCAUCCUCCAAGGCUAAAUACUCCUGACUGACCGAUAGUGAACCAGUACCGUGAGGGAAAGGCGAAAAGAACCCCGGCGAGGGGAGUGAAAAAGAACCUGAAACCGUGUACGUACAAGCAGUGGGAGCACGCUUCGGCGUGUGACUGCGUACCUUUUGUAUAAUGGGUCAGCGACUUAUAUUCUGUAGCAAGGUUAACCGAAUAGGGGAGCCGAAGGGAAACCGAGUCUUAACUGGGCGUUAAGUUGCAGGGUAUAGACCCGAAACCCGGUGAUCUAGCCAUGGGCAGGUUGAAGGUUGGGUAACACUAACUGGAGGACCGAACCGACUAAUGUUGAAAAAUUAGCGGAUGACUUGUGGCUGGGGGUGAAAGGCCAAUCAAACCGGGAGAUAGCUGGUUCUCCCCGAAAGCUAUUUAGGUAGCGCCUCGUGAAUUCAUCUCCGGGGGUAGAGCACUGUUUCGGCAAGGGGGUCAUCCCGACUUACCAACCCGAUGCAAACUGCGAAUACCGGAGAAUGUUAUCACGGGAGACACACGGCGGGUGCUAACGUCCGUCGUGAAGAGGGAAACAACCCAGACCGCCAGCUAAGGUCCCAAAGUCAUGGUUAAGUGGGAAACGAUGUGGGAAGGCCCAGACAGCCAGGAUGUUGGCUUAGAAGCAGCCAUCAUUUAAAGAAAGCGUAAUAGCUCACUGGUCGAGUCGGCCUGCGCGGAAGAUGUAACGGGGCUAAACCAUGCACCGAAGCUGCGGCAGCGACGCUGAUGCGUUGUUGGGUAGGGGAGCGUUCUGUAAGCCUGUGAAGGUGUACUGUGAGGUAUGCUGGAGGUAUCAGAAGUGCGAAUGCUGACAUAAGUAACGAUAAAGCGGGUGAAAAGCCCGCUCGCCGGAAGACCAAGGGUUCCUGUCCAACGUUAAUCGGGGCAGGGUGAGUCGACCCCUAAGGCGAGGCCGAAAGGCGUAGUCGAUGGGAAACAGGUUAAUAUUCCUGUACUUGGUGUUACUGCGAAGGGGGGACGGAGAAGGCUAUGUUGGCCGGGCGACGGUUGUCCCGGUUUAAGCGUGUAGGCUGGUUUUCCAGGCAAAUCCGGAAAAUCAAGGCUGAGGCGUGAUGACGAGGCACUACGGUGCUGAAGCAACAAAUGCCCUGCUUCCAGGAAAAGCCUCUAAGCAUCAGGUAACAUCAAAUCGUACCCCAAACCGACACAGGUGGUCAGGUAGAGAAUACCAAGGCGCUUGAGAGAACUCGGGUGAAGGAACUAGGCAAAAUGGUGCCGUAACUUCGGGAGAAGGCACGCUGAUAUGUAGGUGAAGUCCCUCGCGGAUGGAGCUGAAAUCAGUCGAAGAUACCAGCUGGCUGCAACUGUUUAUUAAAAACACAGCACUGUGCAAACACGAAAGUGGACGUAUACGGUGUGACGCCUGCCCGGUGCCGGAAGGUUAAUUGAUGGGGUUAGCGCAAGCGAAGCUCUUGAUCGAAGCCCCGGUAAACGGCGGCCGUAACUAUAACGGUCCUAAGGUAGCGAAAUUCCUUGUCGGGUAAGUUCCGACCUGCACGAAUGGCGUAAUGAUGGCCAGGCUGUCUCCACCCGAGACUCAGUGAAAUUGAACUCGCUGUGAAGAUGCAGUGUACCCGCGGCAAGACGGAAAGACCCCGUGAACCUUUACUAUAGCUUGACACUGAACAUUGAGCCUUGAUGUGUAGGAUAGGUGGGAGGCUUUGAAGUGUGGACGCCAGUCUGCAUGGAGCCGACCUUGAAAUACCACCCUUUAAUGUUUGAUGUUCUAACGUUGACCCGUAAUCCGGGUUGCGGACAGUGUCUGGUGGGUAGUUUGACUGGGGCGGUCUCCUCCUAAAGAGUAACGGAGGAGCACGAAGGUUGGCUAAUCCUGGUCGGACAUCAGGAGGUUAGUGCAAUGGCAUAAGCCAGCUUGACUGCGAGCGUGACGGCGCGAGCAGGUGCGAAAGCAGGUCAUAGUGAUCCGGUGGUUCUGAAUGGAAGGGCCAUCGCUCAACGGAUAAAAGGUACUCCGGGGAUAACAGGCUGAUACCGCCCAAGAGUUCAUAUCGACGGCGGUGUUUGGCACCUCGAUGUCGGCUCAUCACAUCCUGGGGCUGAAGUAGGUCCCAAGGGUAUGGCUGUUCGCCAUUUAAAGUGGUACGCGAGCUGGGUUUAGAACGUCGUGAGACAGUUCGGUCCCUAUCUGCCGUGGGCGCUGGAGAACUGAGGGGGGCUGCUCCUAGUACGAGAGGACCGGAGUGGACGCAUCACUGGUGUUCGGGUUGUCAUGCCAAUGGCACUGCCCGGUAGCUAAAUGCGGAAGAGAUAAGUGCUGAAAGCAUCUAAGCACGAAACUUGCCCCGAGAUGAGUUCUCCCUGACUCCUUGA
RNAcentral lists this ribosomal RNA (2787 nucleotides) under Escherichia coli. RNAcentral's name for it is "bacterial LSU rRNA". It matches the Rfam family "Bacterial large subunit ribosomal RNA". Lineage: Bacteria; Pseudomonadati; Pseudomonadota; Gammaproteobacteria; Enterobacterales; Enterobacteriaceae. The record is from RNAcentral.